GCUCUGUGGGUUGCUGAUGGUCCAUGCU
RNAcentral lists this non-coding RNA (28 nucleotides) under Homo sapiens (human). Lineage: Eukaryota; Metazoa; Chordata; Mammalia; Primates; Hominidae. The record is from RNAcentral.